Long non-coding RNA from Peromyscus eremicus (cactus mouse), 414 nucleotides. RefSeq lists it as uncharacterized. The transcript is spliced from 3 exons. NCBI's taxonomy places the organism in Eukaryota, Metazoa, Chordata, Mammalia, Rodentia, Cricetidae. The record is from RefSeq and is a predicted model, not a curated record.
AGCAUGAAUCAGUCCUGAAAUGUGCCGGAGAAGCCAACAAACACAACAUUACCUUCACCCGCAUCUCUCAUGCAAAGUGUCCCAAAGAGGCUGGCAGAAUGGAAUUGAGCUGAGUCGCAAUGAGAAAGCAUAUAUGCUAUAAAGGAACAUUCGAUAUAGAAGCAAUCACUCCAAGGUGAUUCGUGCCAUCCGUCAGUCAGAGGUAUAAAUCCCACGGGGCGCAUGAGGUCCCUUUCAAUAAAAUGCAGAUGGAAUUGAGAGCUGCCUUCCAUGUAUUUAUAGUUACUUCUGCUCCACUGCUCAUGCAGUCCUCUAGGAAGAAGAAAUAAGUAAAUGUUUAUGCAGGAGGCUGCCCACCAUCCCCAGCAGAGUGCUUAUUACAAUUAAUGGGAACACAUAAUGUCUAUGUUGGGG